AUACGAAGGGUGCAAGCGUUAAUCGGAAUUACUGGGCGUAAAGCGCGCGUAGGUGGUUCAGCAAGUUGGAUGUGAAAGCCCCGGGCUCAACCUGGGAACUGCAUCCAAAACUACUGAGCUAGAGUACGGUAGAGGGUGGUGGAAUUUCCUGUGUAGCGGUGAAAUGCGUAGAUAUAGGAAGGAACACCAGUGGCGAAGGCGACCACCUGGACUGAUACUGACACUGAGUUGCGAAAGCGUGGGGAGCAAACAGGAUUAGAUACCCUGGUAGUCAACGCCGUAAACGAUGUCAACUAGUUGUUGGGUUCCUUGAGAACUUAGUAACGAAGCUAACGCGAUAAGUUGACCGCCUGGGGAGUACGGCCGCAAGGUUAAAACUCAAAUGAAUUGACGGGG
This 396-nucleotide ribosomal RNA is filed under the name uncultured bacterium. RNAcentral's name for it is "partial 16S ribosomal RNA". It matches the Rfam family "Bacterial small subunit ribosomal RNA", at positions 523 to 918 of the family's 1533-position model. The record is from RNAcentral.